CCUACGGGUGGCAGCAGUGAGGAAUAUUGGUCAAUGGGCGAAAGCCUGAACCAGCCAAGUAGCGUGAAGGAUGACGGCCCUAUGGGUUGUAAACUGCUUUUAUACGGGAAUAACGCGCCUUACGUGUAGGGCUUUGCAUGUACCGUAUGAAUAAGGACCGGCUAAUUCCGUGCCAGCAGCCGCGGUAAUACGGAGGGUCCGGGCGUUAUCCGGAUUUAUUGGGUUUAAAGGGAGCGUAGGCGGAUUGUUAAGUCAGUUGUGAAAUGUUCGGGCUCAACCGGAGCAUUGCAGCGCAAACUGGCAGUCUUGAGGCCAGGAGAGGCGGGCGGAAUUCGUGGUGUAGCGGUGAAAUGCUUAGAUAUCACGAAGAACCCCGAUUGCGAAGGCAGUUCACUGGACCGCAACUGACGCUGAUGCUCGAAAGCGCGGGUAUCAAACAGGAUUAGAUACCCCAGUAGUC
This 460-nucleotide ribosomal RNA is filed under the name uncultured bacterium. Its description in RNAcentral is "partial 16S ribosomal RNA". It matches the Rfam family "Bacterial small subunit ribosomal RNA", at positions 338 to 795 of the family's 1533-position model. The record is from RNAcentral.